RNAcentral lists this ribosomal RNA (465 nucleotides) under Vreelandella stevensii. RNAcentral describes it as "partial 16S ribosomal RNA". It matches the Rfam family "Bacterial small subunit ribosomal RNA", at positions 338 to 795 of the family's 1533-position model. The record is from RNAcentral. Lineage: Bacteria; Pseudomonadati; Pseudomonadota; Gammaproteobacteria; Oceanospirillales; Halomonadaceae.
CCUACGGGUGGCAGCAGUGGGGAAUAUUGGACAAUGGGCGAAAGCCUGAUCCAGCCAUGCCGCGUGUGUGAAGAAGGCCUUCGGGUUGUAAAGCACUUUCAGUGGGGAAGAAAGCCUUGGGGCUAAUACCCUCGAGGAAGGACAUCACCCACAGAAGAAGCACCGGCUAACUCCGUGCCAGCCGCCGCGGUAAUACGGAGGGUGCGAGCGUUAAUCGGAAUUACUGGGCGUAAAGCGCGCGUAGGCGGUCUGAUAAGCCGGUUGUGAAAGCCCCGGGCUCAACCUGGGAACGGCAUCCGGAACUGUCAGGCUAGAGUGCAGGAGAGGAAGGUAGAAUUCCCGGUGUAGCGGUGAAAUGCGUAGAGAUCGGGAGGAAUACCAGUGGCGAAGGCGGCCUUCUGGACUGACACUGACGCUGAGGUGCGAAAGCGUGGGUAGCAAACAGGAUUAGAUACCCCAGUAGUC